RNAcentral lists this long non-coding RNA (232 nucleotides) under Panax ginseng (ginseng). RNAcentral's name for it is "long non-coding RNA (PGIN_LNC007253)". Lineage: Eukaryota; Viridiplantae; Streptophyta; Magnoliopsida; Apiales; Araliaceae. The record is from RNAcentral.
UCAGUAGCAAUAAGCUGAGGCAGACACAUUUUUUUUAUUCAUUGCAUUGUUUUCUGAGUUCCAUAUUAAAAUUAUUUUUUUCCUUUUCUGUAUCGAGCAGCUACAAGCUGAUAUAUUUUUUUUUAAAUUGCAUUGUUCCUUAGAAAAAUGCAAAAAACAAGGGAACAAUUAUUAUUAUUUGCCUCUUCCAACUGCUACACGCUGUAGUGGCUCUCUUUUUUUCUUUUUUUUU